ACGCUCGACACCUACGGUAGGCAGCAGUAGGGAAUCUUCCACAAUGGGCGCAAGCCUGAUGGAGCAACACCGCGUGAGUGAAGAAGGGUUUCGGCUCGUAAAGCUCUGUUGUUGGAGAAGAACGUGCGUGAGAGUAACUGUUCACGCAGUGACGGUAUCCAACCAGAAAGUCACGGCUAACUACGUGCUAGCAGCCGCGGUAAUCUGAGCGGGCUGGCAAGGC
RNAcentral lists this ribosomal RNA (223 nucleotides) under uncultured bacterium. RNAcentral describes it as "partial 16S ribosomal RNA". It matches the Rfam family "Bacterial small subunit ribosomal RNA", at positions 326 to 539 of the family's 1533-position model. The record is from RNAcentral.